Molecule: transfer RNA, 83 nt
Filed under: Streptomyces mutabilis
Lineage: Bacteria; Bacillati; Actinomycetota; Actinomycetes; Kitasatosporales; Streptomycetaceae
Description: tRNA-Gln
Source: RNAcentral
CGGCUCUAGCCGACGUCGAAGGACCCGCAGGCUUUGAGCCUGCGGGUCCUUCGGUUGCCGCCGUUCGGUCCGUUGAGUGCCGC